UACGAAGGGGGCUAGCGUUGUUCGGAUUUACUGGGCGUAAAGCGCACGUAGGCGGAUUGUUAAGUCGGGGGGGAAAUCCUGGAGCUCAACUCCAGAACUGCCUUCGAUACUGGCAAUCUCGAGUCCGGAAGAGGUAAGUGGAACUCCUAGUGUAGAGGUGGAAUUCGUAGAUAUUAGGAAGAACACCAGUGGCGAAGGCGGCUUACUGGUCCGGUACUGACGCUGAGGUGCGAAAGCGUGGGGAGCAAACAGG
This 253-nucleotide ribosomal RNA is filed under the name uncultured bacterium. RNAcentral describes it as "partial 16S ribosomal RNA". It matches the Rfam family "Bacterial small subunit ribosomal RNA", at positions 524 to 776 of the family's 1533-position model. The record is from RNAcentral.